GAAGCUCAGUGGCAGAGCACCUGCUUUGCAUGCAGAAGGUUCCAGGUUCAAUCCCUGGCAUCUCCA
This is a non-coding RNA of Podarcis lilfordi (Lilford's wall lizard), 66 nucleotides long. The record is from the annotation of a GenBank genome assembly. Lineage: Eukaryota; Metazoa; Chordata; Lepidosauria; Squamata; Lacertidae.